CUAAGACCUAGACAACCAGGUGAGAGGUGUUCCUUACUGUGACCUAGACAACCAGGUGAGGGGAGUUCCUUACUAAGACCUAGACAACCAGGUGAGAGGAGUUCCUUACUGUGACCUAGACAACCAGGUGAGAGGAGUUCCUUACUGUGACCUAGACAACCAGGUGAGAGGAGUUCCUUACUGUGACCUAGACAACCAGGUGAGAGGAGUUCCUUACUGUGAUCUAGACAACCAGGUGAGGGGAGUUCCUUAUUAAUCAGGGACCUUAAUUCAUCAAUCAAUCAAGUGCAAGGGUGGAGCAAA
This is a long non-coding RNA of Oncorhynchus tshawytscha (Chinook salmon), 303 nucleotides long. NCBI's taxonomy places the organism in Eukaryota, Metazoa, Chordata, Actinopteri, Salmoniformes, Salmonidae. The record is from Ensembl.